AGGGCGCUGCGCAGUCUGCGGGCGUCACUGUGCCGCGCGCCGCCGGGUGGUUACAUCGAGGCUCAGCUGGCCCUCAGGCCGAAAGCGCGGGUCUGCCUUGGUUCGCCGGACCCAAGGUCUGUGAGCGGCCACGAUGUCGAUCUUCACCCCCACCAACCAGAUCCGCCUGACCAAUGUGGCCGUAGUACGAAUGAAGCGAGCCGGGAAGCGCUUCGAAAUCGCCUGCUACAAAAACAAAGUCGUGGGCUGGCGGAGCGGCGUGGAAAAAGACCUUGAUGAAGUUCUGCAGACGCACUCAGUGUUUGUAAAUGUCUCUAAAGGUCAGGUUGCAAAGAAGGAACAUCUCAUCAGUGCGUUUGGAACAGAUGACCAGACUGAAAUCUGUAAGCAGAUUUUAACUAAAGGAGAGGUUCAAGUGUCAGAUAAAGAAUGGCACACACAGCUGGAGCAGAUGUUUAGGGACAUUGCAACUAUUGUGGCCGACAAAUGUGUGAACCCUGAAACAAAGAGGCCGUAUACCGUUAUCCUUAUCGAGAGAGCCAUGAAGGACAUCCACUAUUCGGUCAAACCCAACAAGAGUACAAAACAGCAGGCUUUGGAAGUGAUAAAGCAGUUAAAGGAGAAAAUGAAGAUAGAACGUGCUCACAUGAGACUUCGUUUCAUUCUUCCAGUGAAUGAAGGGAAGAAGCUGAAAGAAAAACUCAAGCCACUCAUCAAGGUUAUAGAAAGUGAAGACUACGGUCAACAGUUAUUGUGUGUCUCAUCGACCCUGGCUGCUUCCGAGAAAUCGAUGAGCUCGUAAAAAAGGAGACAAAAGGCAAAGGCUCUUUGGAAGUACUCAAUUUGAAAGACGUGGAAGAAGAUGAGAAAUUGGAGUGACAGUCAUCAGUCUCUUCAGCUGUUAAACACUGAAGCAUUUUCAUUUCCUACAGCCCUGUUUUCUUUCUGUGAUCUGCCAAAUACUUGCUCAGAUGAGUUGACAUUUUCCAUCUUUGUGGCAAACAUGUACACAAAAACUUUCCUAAGUAAGUAUUAUAAUGUGGGAUUAAUUUAGUUUUAAUUAUCAAAUGGAGUUUUAGGCAAAAGUGAAAUACAGAGUCCAGAGUAGCAUUUUGUUACUGCCUCAUGCCUUUGAGCUUUCCAGGGUGAAAGUUAUUUGAGACAACUCUUGUGGAUAAAAAAUAAGUUUUGUACAUUAUAAGAAAAUAACUUUGGGAGGAUAUAUCUGUAUGACAGAAAGGGAGGAUUUGCCAAAAAAGAAAACGUGUAGUAUCUUAUUUCUACUUAAUGAAAUGUGUUUAUAGGGGUAACUGUCUCGUGACCUAAUACAAAGCUUGGAUGAUGACUUCUUGAUUUUCUGAAAAAUAGAUAGUUGAUGACUGUGCAGGAUUUCAACAUGCUGCCAUAGCCUAGGUUAUUCUUGGUAAAAAAUACAGCCAUUUAUUGCUAACUCUUAAAGUUUAUAAUAUAUAUUACUAGAGUUGAAAAUAUAUGUAAUCAAUAAAACCACUGUUUAUUUU
RNA transcript from Lipotes vexillifer (Yangtze River dolphin), 1520 nucleotides. It is a transcript of the gene named ribosome maturation protein SBDS pseudogene, with no coding region annotated. The record is from RefSeq and is a predicted model, not a curated record. The transcript has a single exon. NCBI's taxonomy places the organism in Eukaryota, Metazoa, Chordata, Mammalia, Artiodactyla, Lipotidae.